GCGUCGUUAGCUCAGUUGGUAGAGCAAGACUGGCUCUUAACCAGCGGGUCACAGGUUCGAGCCCUGUACGUACGAUACCA
Molecule: transfer RNA, 80 nt
Filed under: Mycoplasmopsis bovis
Lineage: Bacteria; Bacillati; Mycoplasmatota; Mycoplasmoidales; Metamycoplasmataceae
Description: Mycoplasma bovis tRNA-Lys
Rfam family: tRNA
About the family: Transfer RNA (tRNA) molecules are approximately 80 nucleotides in length. Their secondary structure includes four short double-helical elements and three loops (D, anti-codon, and T loops).
Source: RNAcentral